RNAcentral lists this ribosomal RNA (559 nucleotides) under uncultured bacterium. Its description in RNAcentral is "bacterial SSU rRNA". It matches the Rfam family "Bacterial small subunit ribosomal RNA", at positions 338 to 916 of the family's 1533-position model. The record is from RNAcentral.
CCUACGGGAGGCAGCAGUGAGGAAUUUUCCGCAAUGGGCGAAAGCCUGACGGAGCAAUACCGCGUGAGGGAUGAAGGAUUUUGGUCUGUAAACCUCUUUUCUCAAGAAAGAAGUUCUGACGGUACUUGAGGAAUAAGCAUCGGCUAACUCCGUGCCAGCAGCCGCGGUAAUACGGGGGAUGCAAGCGUUAUCCGGAAUGAUUGGGCGUAAAGCGCCUGUAGGUUGUUUAUUAAGUCCGUUGUUAAAGCCUAGGACUCAACCCUAGAAAAGCAAUGGAAACUAGUAGACUAGAGUAUGGCAGGGGUAGAGGGAAUUUCUAGUGUAGCGGUGAAAUGCGUAGAUAUUAGAAAGAACACCGGUGGCGAAAGCGCUCUACUGGACCAUUACUGACACUCAGAGGCGAAAGCUAGGGUAGCAAAAGGGAUUAGAUACCCCUGUAGUCCUAGCCGUAAACGAUGGAUACUAGAUGUUGUGCAUUAUGUACAGUAUCGUAGCUAACGCGUUAAGUAUCCCGCCUGGGGAGUACGCUCGCAAGGGUGAAACUCAAAGGAAUUGACGG